Molecule: unclassified non-coding RNA, 353 nt
Filed under: soil metagenome
Description: partial contains 5.8S ribosomal RNA, internal transcribed spacer 2, and large subunit ribosomal RNA
Rfam family: 5.8S ribosomal RNA (bases 1-120)
Source: RNAcentral
GAUGAAGAACGUAGCGAAAUGCGAUAAGUAAUGUGAAUUGCAGAAUUCAGUGAAUCAUCGAAUCUUUGAACGCACAUUGCGCCCGCCAGUAUUCUGGCGGGCAUGCCUGUCCGAGCGUCAUUUCAACCCUCGAACCCCUCCGGGGGGUCGGCGUUGGGGAUCGGCCCUUUCACCGGGUGCCGGCCCCUAAAUACAGUGGCGGUCUCGCCGCAGCCUCUCAUGCGCAGUAGUUUGCACACUCGCACCGGGAGCGCGGCGCGUCCACGUCCGUAAAACACCCCAACUUCUGAAAUGUUGACCUCGGAUCAGGUAGGAAUACCCGCUGAACUUAAGCAUAUCCAAUAAGCGGAGGA